GAAAUCCUACAAACAGGACAAGGUGCUGUUGGUUUGUUACCUUUUUCAUGUUUCCUUUAUGUUGCUUUGAUGUUACUAAAAGGCAGUUAAAGUAUUGUGAAAUCAGGUGUGGGCUUUAUUUUAUAAAUUUUUGUUUCUGAUAUUCAACUAUUUUGCUUUCUUCUUGUGCUUUCUUUUUCCUUGUUUCAUUCCUCUUUUUCCCUAUCUAGAACGAGUUUUAACCAAGACCAUAUAUUCACAAUUGAUAUUGCUGUUAUUUUGCGUGUAUAAGUUGUGACGACUUGCUCAAAUUUCUACUGAUUUGCGGGAGUGGAGAGGAGAGGGAAAUUCCCGUUGGCGAAGCAUGGGGUGUAUAUUGUUCCUGUUUGCUGAUUUGCUCGAAUUAAUGUGAAUUUGAAGCUGUACCAUUGCCUUGAAUGUUGCUCUUAUAGUCCUUACAUAAUGUUCUGGAUCUAGCCAUUGGAGCUUUUUAAACAGCUUUGUCUGUAUGUGUGUGUUUGUGUAUCUAUCUAUAUUCAUUUGGCUUUUCAUUUUCUGAUAAUGUGUGGACUGGGAAUCAGGUCUUGCUGAUCGUGAUAAUUA
This 582-nucleotide unclassified non-coding RNA is filed under the name Hevea brasiliensis (rubber tree). The record is from RNAcentral. Lineage: Eukaryota; Viridiplantae; Streptophyta; Magnoliopsida; Malpighiales; Euphorbiaceae.